UGGUUUUGGAUUUCUAUUUGAAUGAGGUAUAUUUUUGGAGAAUUUUUUUUCCUUCUUCUAUUUCUCUGUUAGUUCAAAGAGGUGAAACAAAGAUGAAGAAAAUUAGUUAAUAUGAUCUUGAGUUUUAUUUCAAAAUCAGAUUAUAAAAGAAAUUUUCUUCCACUCGAUUUAUACUUUCAAAUGGAUUGAACUGGUUUGUGCUGAGUUGUUCGAGUUCGUCGCCGUCGAGGUCCAGAAUCGCUCUUUCAGUUCGUGUUGUUGGAAUUUGUUUGGUAUUUCCCUCUUUUUUCAAGCUUCGGUUGCUGCCUCAAAGUGUAUUCGCUUCCAAAGAGAAUUAAUUGAAAGUUUUCUUUUCACAUUCAGGGUGUAGCUGUUGAGCAUGAGCAUCUCAUUUGACAAAGCUAUGUGUUCAGUGCAUGUAAUCAGGCCUAUUCCUUCAGGAAGAUUUGAAAUUAUAUGUGAUGCUAGGGUAUUUUUACCUUGAUGAAUAUUUGAGUUCUAGUUGACAUUCAAUCCAUAUUUGAAAGCAGUGUAUUUUCGCCAUAUUUAUCAGAGAUUCAUGCUAUACUUUCCCUGUAAAAGGAUGCACCACGGCCAAAUUUUAUUGAGCUGGUGUUUUGAGUUUUUUUUACAUGUCAUAUGAAUGCUCUCACCUAAAUAAUUAAUUGAAAAGUGAAUUUGAGAA
This is a long non-coding RNA of Nicotiana tabacum (common tobacco), 685 nucleotides long. RefSeq lists it as uncharacterized. The record is from RefSeq and is a predicted model, not a curated record. Lineage: Eukaryota; Viridiplantae; Streptophyta; Magnoliopsida; Solanales; Solanaceae.